This 7754-nucleotide long non-coding RNA is filed under the name Volvox carteri. Its description in RNAcentral is "long non-coding RNA (VCAR_LNC000823)". Lineage: Eukaryota; Viridiplantae; Chlorophyta; Chlorophyceae; Chlamydomonadales; Volvocaceae. The record is from RNAcentral.
UGCAAUUAGCGCUUUAAGGUCCUGGGUUCGAUUCCUGGGGAGACCCCCGAAUUAGUCGGGAGCGCGAGAUUAUGGCUAGCUGCUGAGAUGUGGAGUUGAGGUCACAGUUGAUGGACCAGAUUCGCACGCUGGAUUGGUGGCGAUUGCCGAACCCUCCGUCUCUUCGGGUGUUCGGGUGAAUGGAUGAGGUGGGGUCCCUGAAGGCUGGAUCCGCCGCCUUGGACUUACAGUUCGUAUGGCGAAGUACAGUGUGGUAGUGGUGGAUGGUGCUAUAAGGUGAUAAAUGAUCUAGAACUGACAAUGUGAUAAAGUGGCCCAGAAGCCUCCCACUCUGUAACAUUACAUUACAUUACACCAGUGAAUGGUAGCCACAGUAAUAGGACCCAACGGGGGUCCGGCACUCUGCUGGUCUUAACAGAGUCAGGGCCUCUGUCAAGCUCCGUUAGACUUAGGAAACACAGUCGGCUAGGCACCACUGUCACCUGUGCAUGGUGAAGGAAUGCCGGAAGAAGCCGGAACAACCGGUGCAAGCCAGCGCAGGAGUAAGAGGGCAGGGAAUGUGAGGAUAUAUUGUGGCCUUCGGAGCGGUAGUGUUGAAGGGCGGUCCUAUCCCAACGUAGAUAGCUGUUAGUUAGGCGAUAAUAGGCGAUGCCUCGAACGUGCCUCGACCUUGCCUCGGCCGUGCCUAGACUUUGCCUCGGCCAUGCCUCGACUUGCCUCGGCCGUACCUCGACCUUGCCUCGGGUCUCUCGGCCGCGUAUCUCGGACGUGUCCUCGUGCCCAGCAUUGAUGGUGGGCGACUGUACGAUACUUCCAUUGGUACUGGUAUGUAUGUUGUUACAGGGUGGUUAACUUCGCCAGCGGCCCCCUUUCCCGGGGCAGUCCCUGCUCUCCCCUGCUAGAGGGGCACCCUAAUCCGUCACCCCAUCCGACUUCAGAAUGUAUUCGUUGGGUUCGGCAACUCACCACCAGCAUCCAACCAAAUCUAGCGGAUCAACGGCGCAUCAACUUAGUUCCUGGUCAGCUCGCAAGUUGAUAUUAUCACGUCCUACACCGUCCAUAAGAUGGGGGGCCACCUCCCAUUUCAUCACUCCUCAAACACCCGAGGAGCCGGCAGGCGGAUUUGAACCCGGGUCGACUGGGUCAACUGGGAGCAGAAGUCAGGCCUUAACCUCUGCCAGCCGCCUGCCUUCUGGUAUAUAUGACACAAGUUAUGCAAGUCUUGGUAUCUCCUUGCCUCCUUCAUAUUCUUAACAGGUUAUGAGCCCCGCCUCCAGGUACUCAUUUAUUGCCGUGUCGUUGGGUGUAUAAGGUUAAGUACAACGAUGACGGCAGCGUGGAGCGUUUUAAGGCGCGAUUGGUUGCGAAGGGUUUCGAGCAACACGAGGGGAUUGAUUAUGGGGAGUGUUUGCCCCUACCUCUCGUGGUUNNNNNNNNNNNNNNNNNNNNNNNNNNNNNNNNNNNNNNNNNNNNNNNNNNGGCGCUAGCGGAAAACUCGUACAUUCCGCGAUCUAACUGCACGUACAUUCCGCGAUCUCACUGCGCCGUCCAGACGGUGCCCUAAUGUCUAUCACUUAGCUACCGGAUAUGCAUCGGUAGCCCCAUAAGGUUCUGGGGUAAGUCUUCCCCAUUAGUCAGGCGCAGACCCGGGGUCAAAUCCCCUGGUCGACAACCACACGAGUUGGGAGAGGGCCGUUUCCUCAACAGAAACACAUCGACGUGCAGCACCACAUAGUGCGUGAGUGGGUGAAUAGCGGGGAGGUGCAGUUUGAGUACUGCCCUACAGAGUUGAUGGUAGUGGAUGCGCUCACGAAGGCACUGGGAGAAGUGAAGUUCAAACGGUGCAGAGAAGCUAUGGGUGUUGUGUGCAGUCCCCAUUGGUCGAGCAAAUGUGCUACUGCGAGUUGGGAUAUGUCCCGAGGGGGCGUGUUGAAGGGCGGUCCUAUCCCAACAUAGAUAGGUGGUAGUUAGGCGAUGAAUCCGUGAUAGGCGAUGCCUCGGACGUGCCUCGACCUUGCCUCGGCCGUGCCUCGACCUUGCCUCGGCCGUGCCUCGACCUUGCCUCGGGUCUCUCGGCCGCGUAUCUCUGACGUGUCCUCUGGUCCAGGGAUGGUGGACGACUGUACGAUACUUCCGUUGGUAUCGGUACAUAAGGCGAGAGUUAAGCAAGUCUUUCUUUCUCAUGUUAGGGGAUAAAUCGGUAUUCCUUAACAGGAAUCUCCUAAAGUCUUCUUGCCGUUCACCAUUAACCCACAGACUGUAACCCUUAUAUCGCGACCAGUCUCCUUGCCUUCAUAUUCUUAACACGCCGUCGACCAUCUUAAAACGGCUGAAUUCUUGACGUAGAGCCACCUUGCGGGCGUUGUUGUUGGCAGCAAACAUAGAGCCCAAGGCGUCCCAGGCCUUCUUCGCGUUGGCAGCACCGGUGACCAUCGGCAAGUGGUGAUUCUUCACGUUCUUGUUAAGCAGAUUGAUGACCUUCCGUGAUUGACGAAUCUGCUCCUCGUUGCACGGCUCGGCGAGCAAGGACUGCUCAAGCCCAAGCUCCAUGCACAUCGUGCUAAACCGGAUUUGCCACGUGGAGUAGUUGUGGAGGUCCAGCGGGUCAUCAAGCGUAUCCUUGACCAUUGUCGGUAAGGGAUAGAAAUAACAAUCGGACGAUAGCUGUCGGCGCUAGACGGGGCUUAUAACCUAUUGGAGAAUUGGCGACGGUGACGGCUAACGCUGAUUGUUAUCUCGGAAGGAAUGCCGGCGGCGAAGAUAUUUAAGCAGCCUCUCGCACAAAUGUGUCCGGUCGUACUUCGCGAAUAAAGAGUUCGUACAUGUCGCCCCAAAAGCCAGGAGCGAUUUUCACCGCGCGGGUGCACGCGUUCGAUUCACAAAUUGCGCGUGUGCAAGUGUAUAAAAUUCUCUCGGCGAAAGGCCGCUCAUCAGGGCAUGUUGGCCGCAGUCACAAGCGGCAUGCAUCUCGGACUUUUGGCUGGCUGCUUAGCCUGAGCUGAAAAAGAUAUGAAAGCAAACAACGUAGCUUGCAAGACUGGGCGCUUGAAACGGCCGCGGAAGAGGAAGCGUUUGGCGAAGCGGCAGUUUGCGCAAGCAAACGAGUUGCGCCAGCGUGUUGCGCAGGUGGGCACGAUGGGCAUAGUCGCACGCGGCAUGCAGCCUAGUCUAUUGCGUGGCUGCUUUGCAGUAACUGAAAGCACCGAAAGCCUACGUCGUAGCUUGCAACACUGGGCUCGUGAAACUGCCGCGGGAAGAGGAAGCGUCUGGCGAAGAGGCAGUCGUGUGCAAGCCAAAAGGCGCCUGCUUUCUGCAGCGCAGCGCAUACAGCACCUUGUUCCGACUCAAGUCAAAUUACAAAGUUGCGCAAAGUAUAACAUACAUAAACUUAAUUAAACAUAAGAACAGAUAAGAUGUUUAGAGCCUUGUCGGUGACAUGGACGCCGCUGUUGGCUUGGAACAGCUAUUUGCUGUGCAUAGGGACGUGCCCGCGUUAGCUGUGUUGCAACAGCUCAGGAUGGAUUUCAGCCAACAAAGCCUCAAGAGCUGCUGCACAACCACCGGUGUGUCUUCAGCUGGACACGUGUAGUUUUGGUCGGCGGGGUCGAGCAUCGUAUGCAUUGCGCACAGAAACCAAGGUGCAGCAUCUCUGUAACAUCGCCAACAUAUCCGGUACGCGGUGGCAGGCUUGCCGAGCACGAAAUGACGGAAGGUCUCAUCUCACCAUUCAACUAAGCAUGCAUGUGCUCGGUUGAAUGCUCGGUAGCAUGCGAGUUUACCUAUCAGGAUGUUUGUUUGCAUAUAUCCCUCCAAGCGAAAGGGCUUGGACCUAUGCUGAUGUUCGUUACAAGAAGUGAACUGAGGACUAAUGCUACACGUCAUGUAUACGCGUUGCUUAGCUUGCAACGAGGCGCGCCCACGAUGAAAGCUUCAGCUACGCUCACAAUACAUUAUACUGCUACACUAUUCUCUCCAGUCCUACCACAUUAUAUUUCACCGACGUACUUUGCCACCUUCCACAUCACCAUACGUGCUUUGGAAACGCGGGCAGCUGCUUCACAAGGGCCCCCAUAUUUAGCACGAUAAAAUGUUAUAAGUUAUGUAAAGAGUAUUAUUAGCGUUCGGCAGGACUUGAGGAGAUUCCUUUGAGGAAUACCGAUCGUUGUGAGAUAAACAAAUAAGCGCAGUCACCGCCCUAAAUACCGGCGCUAGCGGAAAACUCGUACAUUCCACGAUCUACCUGCACGUACAUUCCGCGAUCUCACUGCGCCGUCCUGACGGUGCCCUAAUGUCUAUCACUUAGCUACCGGAUAUGCAUCGGUAGCCCCAUAAAGUUCUGGGGUAAGACUUCCCCUAUAGUUAGUCACAGACCCGGGGUCAAAACCCCUAGUCAACAACCACACGAGUUGGGAGAGGACCGUUCCCUCAACAAAAUUCACACCCUGAUGUGGAAAUGCUGGGGGUUCGGUAUUCAGUCAAGGAACACAAACGUCCUGGCGAGUGGUGACGAAAUGAAUGCGGUCGUACUCUCACAGGCCGAGUCAAUGCUGCAAUAUAUCUGCUUGGACAAACUUGUAUGCCGAAGCAGUCCCAGGUCCACAUGCAGACGACUGGCGGCAGUGAGUGCCGCGAACAUUCUGAAUCCGGUAGACCCCGCUGGACACCGUGGAUUGCAGCAGGCGAUCAUUUGCUGCAACUACAAACAGACGGGCCGUAUAGCUUGGAGUUGCAAAGAGAGCCGCAGCCUAACGUGCAGGGAAGGAGUGGAGGUGGUCUUGGCGACCACACGUGGCAGGUGGGGUAGCAUGCCUCAACAGACAGGCGGUGGCAGCAGUGCAGUGAUGCCGUGUAUUUUUGCUGCAAGAUAAGAACCACUAUUAAGGUUAAGGGGAAUUGUGUGACUCCGAAGCGGCUAGUAUUGGUGUACCUGAGUCUGUUGGAACUGACCGACACUCAUAUACCAGUGAAUGAUAGCCACACUCAUAUACCAGUGAAUGGUAGUCACAGUGAAUGGUAGCCACAGUAAUAGGACCCAGUAUGAUACCAGUGAAUGGUAGCCACAGUAAUAGGACCCAACGGGGGUCCGGCACUCUGCUGGUCUUAACAGAGUCAGGGCCUCUGUCAAGCUCCGUUAGACUUAGGAAACACAGUCGGCUAGGCACCACUGUCACCUGUGCAUGGUGAAGGAAUGCCGGAAGAAGCCGGAACAACCGGUGCAAGCCAGCGCAGGAGUAAGAGGGCAGGGAAUGUGAGGAUAUAUUGUGGCCUUCGGAGCGGUAGUGUUGAAGGGCGGUCCUAUCCCAACGUAGAUAGCUGUUAGUUAGGCGAUGAUAGGCGAUGCCUCGAACGUGCCUCGACCUUGCCUCGGCCGUGCCUAGACCUUGCCUCGGCCAUGCCUCGACUUGCCUCGGCCGUACCUCGACCUUGCCUCGGGUCUCUCGGCCGCGUAUCUCGGAUGUGUCCUCGUGCCCAGCAUUGAUGGUGGGCGACUGUACGAUACUUCCAUUGGUACUGGUAUAUAUGACACAAGUUAUGCAAGUCUUGGUAUCUCCUUGCCUCCUUCAUAUUCUUAACAGGUUAUGAGCCCCGCCUCCAGGUACUCAUUUAUUGCCGUGUCGUUGGGUGUAUAAGGUUAAGUACAACGAUGACGGCAGCGUGGAGCGUUUUAAGGCGCGAUUGGUUGCGAAGGGUUUCGAGCAACACGAGGGGAUUGAUUAUGGGGAGUUGUUUGCCCCUACCUCUCGUGGUUCGUCAUUACGUGCUUUAUUAGCAGUUGCCGCGAAAAUUCUGUAUCUGGUUGACCCAACUGGACAGCGUGGAUUGCAGCAGGCGAUCAUUUGCUACAACUACCAGCAGACGGGCCGUAUAGCUCGGAGUUGCAGAGAGCCGCAGCCUUACGUGCAGAGAAUGAGUGGAGGUGGUCUUGGCGACCACACGUGGCAGGUGGGGUAGCAUGCCUCAACAGACAGGCGGUAACGGCAGUGCAGUGAUGCCGUGUAUUUUUUUGCUGCAAGAUAAGAACCACUAUGAAUUGUCUGACUCCGAAUCGGCUAGUAUUGGUGUACCUGAGUCAGGGCCUCUGCCAAGCUCCGUUAGACUUAGGAAACACAGUCGGCUGGGCACCACUGUCACCUGUGGAUGGUGAAGGAAUGCCGGAUGAAGCCGAAGCAUCUAGUGGUGCAAGCCAGCACAGGAGUUCAGAAGAAUAGGGCAGGGAAUAUGAGGAGAUAUUAUAGCCCUCGGGGUGGUGAUAUGGUGUUGCAGGAAGGAGGAUAGUAGGUUGCAUUAACGUGGCUGUCACUGAUCCGUACGUACCCUGCUGAACUUUUGCUAAGUAAUACUUUCACUGAAGCCAUUUCAGGAGCAGGGGCAAAUGAGUGGCGCAUAGUGAUGGUCAACUGCACUUGUGUGCUGUGUGUACAACCUUAUGCUGUGCAUGUGCCACCUAUGGUGGUUGUACAAGUUGAAAAGAGUGGAAGGUGACACGGUCAAGCGCUUUUUUGCAUGGCUAGGUGCAAAGAUGUACGAGAAGUACGAGAACUUGGAGAAGCGCAGGUGUUUUCGGGCAUGGAAAUACUGAGGAUGAAUUAGUGUUGUCGCAAUAUUGAGCAGCUAUUGGAGCGUCACCAGGCGGUGGACGCCAAGCCACGGUCUACCCCUUUGCCUCCAGGUUUUAGUUGCACACCUACGGGGGAUAGAGAUGAGCUGCUGGGUAUUCCCAUGGUGCAUAGGGCUUUGGUGGGAAAGUUGGACUACCUAGCGACUAACACUCGGCCUGACAUUCCUUAUGCAUGGAGUGUUUUGUCCCGGCUUAUGGCCACACCUAAGAAGAGUGCCAUGAACUUGGCAACUGGUGUUCUACGUUACCUGGCGGGUACUCGCGAACUAGGAUUGCGUUUUGGGGGUGUUGGCGGUGUUGCAAUGUCUGGGUACAGUGAUUCGGACUGGGCAGGAGACCCAGUUACGCAGCGUUCUACGUCCGGUUACGUAUUCACUCUUAAUGGAGCUGCGAUUAGCUGGAGCAGCCAACUUCAACGUACUGUGGCGGCUUCGUCGGUGGAGGCCGAGUACCAAGGUCCAGGUCCUCUCCCAACUCGUGUGGUUGUCGACCAGGGGAUUUGACCCCGGGUCUGCGCCUAACUAACGGGGAAGACUUAACCCAGAACCUUAAGUUAGGCGAUGAUAGGCAAUGCCUCGAACGUGUCUCGACCUUGCCUCGGCCGUGCCUAGACCUUGCCUCGGCCAUACCUCGACUUGCCUCGGCCGUACCUCGACCUUGCCUCGAGUCUCUCGGCCGCGUAUCUCGGACGUGACCUCGGGUCCAGGGAUGGAUCUGUACGAUACUUCCAUUGUUACUGGUCUGGUCUGUACGAUACUUCCAUUGUUACUGGUCUGGUCUGGGUUGACACUACUGCAAUUAGCGGUUUAAGGUCCUAGGUUCGAUUCCUGGGGAUACCCCCGAAUUAGUCGGGAGCGCGAGAUUAUGGCUAGCUGCUGAGAUGUGGAGUUGAGGUCACAGUUGAUGGACCAGAUUCGCACGCUGGAUUGGUGGCGAUUGCCGAACCCUCCGUCUCUUCGGGUGUUCGGGUGAAUGGAUGAGGUGGGGCCCCUGAAGGCUGGAUCCGCCGCCUUGGACUUACAUACAGUUCGUAUGGCGAAGUACAGUGUGGUAGUGGUGGAUGGUGCUAUAAGGUGAUAAAUGAUCUAGAACUGACAAUGUGAUAAAGCGGCCCAGAAGCCUCCCACUCUGUAAC